CACUAAGAAGCUUAUAGGAUCAAGCGGCAGCCUUUUAAGCUGUUGAUAGGUGACUUCCAACCACCCUUAGUGA
This 73-nucleotide transfer RNA is filed under the name Trachycephalus coriaceus (Surinam golden-eyed treefrog). Its description in RNAcentral is "tRNA-Lys". It matches the Rfam family "tRNA". Rfam says of the family: Transfer RNA (tRNA) molecules are approximately 80 nucleotides in length. Lineage: Eukaryota; Metazoa; Chordata; Amphibia; Anura; Hylidae. The record is from RNAcentral.